CAGCCGCCGCGGGAAAACGUAGGGUGCGAGCGUUAAUCGGAAUUACUGGGCGUAAAGCGUGCGCAGGCGGUUCGUUAAGACAGAUGUGAAAUCCCCGGGCUUAACCUGGGAACUGCAUUUGUGACUGGCGAGCUAGAGUAUGGCAGAGGGGGGUAGAAUUCCACGUGUAGCAGUGAAAUGCGUAGAGAUGUGGAGGAAUACCGAUGGCGAAGGCAGCCCCCUGGGCCAAUACUGACGCUCAUGCACGAAAGCGUGGGGAGCAAACAGGAUUAGAUACCCGAGUAGUCCCUGUCUCUUAUAC
RNAcentral lists this ribosomal RNA (301 nucleotides) under uncultured bacterium. Its description in RNAcentral is "partial 16S ribosomal RNA". It matches the Rfam family "Bacterial small subunit ribosomal RNA", at positions 509 to 807 of the family's 1533-position model. The record is from RNAcentral.